RNAcentral lists this transfer RNA (72 nucleotides) under Dipodomys ordii (Ord's kangaroo rat). It matches the Rfam family "tRNA". From Rfam's summary of the family: Transfer RNA (tRNA) molecules are approximately 80 nucleotides in length. Their secondary structure includes four short double-helical elements and three loops (D, anti-codon, and T loops). Lineage: Eukaryota; Metazoa; Chordata; Mammalia; Rodentia; Heteromyidae. The record is from Rfam by way of RNAcentral.
GGUGGAAUGGCUCAGUAGUAGAAAACCAGCUUCAAGUGCUGGAGGCCCUAAGAUCAAACCAUAGUACCACCA